GACUCUCGGCAACGGAUAUCUUGGCUCUCGCAUCGAUGAAGAACGUAGCAAAAUGCGAUACUUGGUGUGAAUUGCAGAAUCCCGUGAACCAUCGAGUCUUUGAACGCAAGUUGCGCCCGAGGCUUCGGUCGAGGGCACGCCUGCCUGAGCGUCAUGCAU
This 159-nucleotide ribosomal RNA is filed under the name Ceratophyllum echinatum. RNAcentral describes it as "5.8S ribosomal RNA". It matches the Rfam family "5.8S ribosomal RNA". From Rfam's summary of the family: 5.8S ribosomal RNA (5.8S rRNA) is a component of the large subunit of the eukaryotic ribosome. It is transcribed by RNA polymerase I as part of the 45S precursor that also contains 18S and 28S rRNA. Lineage: Eukaryota; Viridiplantae; Streptophyta; Magnoliopsida; Ceratophyllales; Ceratophyllaceae. The record is from RNAcentral.